RNAcentral lists this ribosomal RNA (466 nucleotides) under uncultured bacterium. Its description in RNAcentral is "partial 16S ribosomal RNA". It matches the Rfam family "Bacterial small subunit ribosomal RNA", at positions 28 to 507 of the family's 1533-position model. The record is from RNAcentral.
GAUGAACGCUGGCGGCGUGCUUAACACAUGCAAGUCGAACGGAAAGGCCACAGCUUGCUGUGGUACUCGAGUGGCGAACGGGUGAGUAACACGUGGGUGAUCUGCCCUGUACUUCGGGAUAAGCUUGGGAAACUGGGUCUAAUACCGGAUAGGAAUCACAUGUGGGUGUGUGGUUGGAAAGCUUUUGCGGUAUGGGAUGAGAUCGCGGCCUAUCAGCUUGUUGGUGGGGUAAUGGCCUACCAAGGCGUCGACGGGUAGCCGGCCUGAGAGGGUGUACGGCCACAUUGGGACUGAGAUACGGCCCAGACUCCUACGGGAGGCAGCAGUGGGGAAUAUUGCACAAUGGGCGCAAGCCUGAUGCAGCGACGCCGCGUGGGGGAUGACGGCCUUCGGGUUGUAAACUCCUUUCGUCAGGGACGAAGCGAAAGUGACGGUACCUGGAUAAGAAGCACCGGCUAACUACGUG